AAUCUUCCACAAUGGACGGAAGUCUGAUGGAGCAACGCCGCGUGAGCGAAGAAGGUUUUCGGAUCGUAAAGCUCUGUUGUAAGGGAAGAACACGUACGGGAGCCACUGCCCGUACCUUGUCGGUACCUUAUCAGAAAGCCUCGGCUAACUCCGUGCCUGCCGCCGCGGUAACACGUAGGUGGCAAGCGGUGUCCGGAAUUAUUGGGCGUAAAGCGCGCGCAGGCGGUCCUUUAAGUCUGAUGUGAAAGCCCACGGCUCAACCGUGGAGGGUCAUUGGAAACUGGAGGACUUGAGUACAGAAGAGGAAAGCGGAAUUCCACGUGUAGCGGUGAAAUGCGUAGAGAUGUGGAGGAACACCAGUGGCGAAGGCGGCUUUCUGGUCUGUAACUGACGCUGAGGCGCGAAAGCGUGGGGAGCAAACAG
This 423-nucleotide ribosomal RNA is filed under the name uncultured bacterium. Its description in RNAcentral is "partial 16S ribosomal RNA". It matches the Rfam family "Bacterial small subunit ribosomal RNA", at positions 360 to 775 of the family's 1533-position model. The record is from RNAcentral.